This 253-nucleotide ribosomal RNA is filed under the name uncultured bacterium. RNAcentral's name for it is "partial 16S ribosomal RNA". It matches the Rfam family "Bacterial small subunit ribosomal RNA", at positions 524 to 776 of the family's 1533-position model. The record is from RNAcentral.
UACGUAGGGUGCAAGCGUUAAUCGGAAUUACUGGGCGUAAAGCGUGCGCAGGCGGUGAUGUAAGACAGAUGUGAAACCCCCGGGCUCAACCUGGGAACUGCAUUUGUGACUGCAUCGCUGGAGUGCGGCAGAGGGGGAUGGAAUUCCGCGUGUAGCAGUGAAAUGCGUAGAUAUGCGGAGGAACACCGAUGGCGAAGGCAAUCCCCUGGGCCUGCACUGACGCUCAUGCACGAAAGCGUGGGGAGCAAACAGG